Stegostoma tigrinum is the source of this 701-nucleotide long non-coding RNA. RefSeq lists it as uncharacterized. The record is from RefSeq and is a predicted model, not a curated record. The transcript is spliced from 3 exons. NCBI's taxonomy places the organism in Eukaryota, Metazoa, Chordata, Chondrichthyes, Orectolobiformes, Stegostomatidae.
CAGCAUCCACUUCAGCAAUGUUUCAAUUAAAACCACCAUGUCAAUAUAAUGUUCGUAACAAAGUUGUGCAAGAGAAAUCUGGGGCUUUGAAAUAAGACAAACAUCAUCAAUCACAACAGGAAUAAAGUCCAUCAAUCAAAAAUGUAACUGAGACUGGAAUAACAGCAACUUGUGAUGUUUUAAUUGACACAUAAGCACAACUUUCCUUCCAUUACUAUAAUCAAGUAAUUAAAUCGAGUGAGAUGCAGAACGACUUUCAACCACACUCUACGGGCAGAAUAAUACAGAGGCCUGAAGAACCAAGUGUUUAUGCUCAGGAAUUUGAUACAGUUGUUUGUGAAGUCUGGGAAACCAUCUCAACAUUUCAGCAACUAGCUGCCUUUUCCAAAAAAGAUUUGUCAUCUCAUCGGGCUGAGAAAAUUAUACUCUGAAGAAGUAGUUAUGGACCCUAAAGCUAUUGAACGUGGACCCAUAUUAAAUGGAUCAUUAACUGCUUGAAUGCCAAGAUUACCUGGGGAUUUUGAACAUAUGGAAUGUUUAUGAUGGAUUAAAGGAAGUAACAUAUGAUUUCUGUUAAAUGGCUGCUUCUCUGAUUAACUUAUUGUAUGGACGGAAACUGAUUAUUACACUUUGGUACUGUUGUUUUAAACUUCACUAAAUAACUAAGGUCAACAAAUACAUGAUGACGAUCUGUCACUUUA